AUUGAACGCUGGCGGCAUGCCUUACACAUGCAAGUCGAACGGUAACAGGUCUUCGGAUGCUGACGAGUGGCGAACGGGUGAGUAAUACAUCGGAACGUGCCCGAUCGUGGGGGAUAACGAAGCGAAAGCUUUGCUAAUACCGCAUAAGAUCUACGGAUGAAAGCAGGGGACCGCAAGGCCUUGCGCGAACGGAGCGGCCGAUGGCAGAUUAGGUAGUUGGUGGGAUAAAAGCUUACCAAGCCGACGAUCUGUAGCUGGUCUGAGAGGACGACCAGCCACACUGGGACUGAGACACGGCCCAGACUCCUACGGGAGGCAGCAGUGGGGAAUUUUGGACAAUGGGCGAAAGCCUGAUCCAGCCAUGCCGCGUGCAGGAUGAAGGCCUUCGGGUUGUAAACUGCUUUUGUACGGAACGAAAAGACUCUGGUUAAUACCUGGGGUCCAUGACGGUACCGUAAGUAUAAGCACCGGCUAACUACGUG
RNAcentral lists this ribosomal RNA (482 nucleotides) under uncultured bacterium. Its description in RNAcentral is "partial 16S ribosomal RNA". It matches the Rfam family "Bacterial small subunit ribosomal RNA", at positions 30 to 507 of the family's 1533-position model. The record is from RNAcentral.